AUGAAUCUAUUGUGCUGGACAUGUCGUGGUGCUGUCAAAGCUGCGAUAAUUCAAGAGCUUCAUGACCUCGUGAGACAAUAUGCCUCUGUUGUAUUGUGCAUAGUUGAAACCCAAAUCUCUAAGCCCAGGGUUGAAUACUUAUCUAGUACAUUAGGCUUUGAUAAUUCGUAUGCUAUCAGUAGUAAUGGAAGGAGCGGAGGGCUCGGUCUCUUUUGGAACAAUUCAAUAAACUUGAUGUAUCUGGUUGCUCGGAGUAUCACUAGAAGCUAG
Molecule: ribosomal RNA, 270 nt
Filed under: Triticum aestivum (bread wheat)
Lineage: Eukaryota; Viridiplantae; Streptophyta; Magnoliopsida; Poales; Poaceae
Description: partial small subunit ribosomal RNA
Source: RNAcentral